Molecule: long non-coding RNA, 1481 nt
Filed under: Brassica napus (rape)
Lineage: Eukaryota; Viridiplantae; Streptophyta; Magnoliopsida; Brassicales; Brassicaceae
Description: long non-coding RNA (BNAP_LNC003951)
Source: RNAcentral
GAUGGUGGAUUCCGGUACACAAUUCACGUUCCUGAUGGGUCCGGUUUACUCCGCCUUGAAAACCGAGUUUAUGGCGCAAACCAAGGCGGUUCUCAAAGUUGUAGAAGAUCCAAAUUUUGUGUUCCAAGGGACAAUGGACCUCUGUUACCGGGUUCUAAAACUAUUGUUUAGACGUUAAAGUUUUUCACCUAAAAUUCAAAGUUUUUUUCUUUUUGGCUCGGAAUGAUUAGACUAAACCGAAACGAACCGGGAAAGCGUAGUCAAGAGAGAAUAAAACACACAAUAUUGUAUUUAAAGAUGGCAAAGCACGUAACAAACUUAGUAAAGACAUGAUGGCUUCAUCAUCAUCAUCAUCAUCUCUUUCAAAUUUAUCGCUUCAAAUUUCAAUUUUGCUUCUUAUUUUUCCUCUCACGUUCUGCAAGAUAUCUUCUCCAAAUCAAGAACCACUAGUCUUCUCUCUCAAAACCAAGAAUGUUCCACAGUCUUCUUCAGACAAGCUUUCUUUCAGACAUAACGUCACUCUCACCGUUUCUCUCUCCGUGGGCUCUCCACCGCAAAACAUCUCGAUGGUUCUUGACACAGGAAGCGAGCUUUCAUGGCUUCACUGCAAGAAAGCUCCCAACUUAGGAUCCGUGUUUAACCCGGUUUCGUCCUCUUCUUACUCGCCUAUACCUUGCUCCUCGCCUAUUUGCAGGACCCGGACCCGGGACUUGCCCAUACCCGCUUCAUGCGACUCGAAGACCCAUCUUUGCCACGUGGCAGUCUCCUACGCCGACGCUACCUCACUAGAAGGCAGCUUAGCUCACGAGACAUUCGUAAUCGGAUCCUCAGCCCGACCCGGAACUAUAUUCGGGUGCAUGGACUCGGGUUUAAGCUCUGAUUCGGAGGAGGACGCUAAAACAACCGGUUUAAUGGGAAUGAACCGGGGCUCUUUAUCGUUUGUUAACCAGCUGGGUUUCUCAAAAUUCUCUUAUUGCAUAUCCGGUUCAGACUCCUCCGGUAUUCUGCUUCUUGGUGACGCGAGUUCCUCGUGGCCCGGUCCUAUCCAGUACACGCCUUUGGUUAGUGAAACGACGCCGUUACCGUAUUUCGACCGGGUCGCUUACACGGUCCAGUUAGAAGGAAUUCGGGUCGGGUCAAAGUUGCUGUCUCUACCUAAAUCUAUGUUCGUACCGGACCAUACCGGGGCAGGUCAGACGAUGGUGGAUUCCGGUACACAAUUCACGUUCCUGAUGGGUCCGGUUUACUCCGCCUUGAAAACCGAGUUUAUGGCGCAAACCAAGGCGGUUCUCAAAGUUGUAGAAGAUCCAAAUUUUGUGUUCCAAGGGACAAUGGACCUCUGUUACCGGGUUGGGCCGUUGACCCGGCCCAAUUUCUCGAGGUUGCCCGUUGUUAGUUUAAUGUUUCGUGGGGCGGAGAUGAGCGUGUCGGGUCAGAAGCUGUUGUACCGAGUAAACGGAGCUGGGUUGGGAGGAAAAGAU